This 119-nucleotide ribosomal RNA is filed under the name Pteropus alecto (black flying fox). The record is from RNAcentral. Lineage: Eukaryota; Metazoa; Chordata; Mammalia; Chiroptera; Pteropodidae.
GUCUAGGGCCGUGCCAUCCUGAACAAACCAGAUCUUGUCUGAUCUCAGAAGCUAAGCAAGGUCGAGCCUGGUUAGUACUUGGAUGGGAGACCACCUAGGAAGACCGGGUGCUAAAGGCA